CGGGCGGUAGCUCAGCUUGGUAGAGCUUCCGGCUGUAGACCGGAGUGUCGCAGGUUCAAAUCCUGCUCGCCCGACCA
This 77-nucleotide transfer RNA is filed under the name Candidatus Bathyarchaeota archaeon. Its description in RNAcentral is "tRNA-Tyr". It matches the Rfam family "tRNA". Rfam says of the family: Transfer RNA (tRNA) molecules are approximately 80 nucleotides in length. Their secondary structure includes four short double-helical elements and three loops (D, anti-codon, and T loops). The record is from RNAcentral. Lineage: Archaea; Thermoproteati; Candidatus Bathyarchaeota.